Molecule: non-coding RNA, 1119 nt
Organism: Phalacrocorax carbo (great cormorant)
Lineage: Eukaryota; Metazoa; Chordata; Aves; Suliformes; Phalacrocoracidae
Source: RefSeq, a predicted model, not a curated record
CCUCCUCUGUGUUAUAUACUGCAGCAGUAUAAAUCUUGCUGUUAAAGUAGGAGGGCAUAUCCUGAACUGUAAAGGAAGAAAGAGAGAGAUGUAUUUUCCAACAAGUGUUCUACCCCAAAUAAGCAAUACUUGUAUAUAUUGUCCUCACCUGCUGGCCACAGAAGGCUACCAUAUGUCAGGUCCUCCUAGACAAGUCCUGUUUUUCCAAAAGAAAUGUUGUCAAAUUACCAAGGAUUUCUGGCAGCCUACCUCUGAAGUGUGAGUUCUCAAGCUACUGGAAUAUUUGUUGCUAGGAAUUAAUUGCCCCAGUCUGCCUGUCUCUGAACUGACAUCCUUCUGUAAUGAAGAACACAGUCCAUGAUGCUGUCUCCGUGAACAGCCUCAGCUCAUAUGUUGCCUGUUCUGCAACAGUGAUGGGAGUUUCACUCCCCUGAAAAAAUGAAACAGGUGGCAACAAAGGAAGAUUCACAUCUAAAGAAGACACGUAUAGAUGCUGGAAUAAUAAAAUCAAAAAGUCCAUUGCCAAAAAAUAAAAAAGGGCCUCCAUCUUGAUUUUAGUUUAAGGAUUAGAAUGGGAGAGAAAGGGGGAGAGAGUGGGGGAGAGAUAUCAUCCAAAACCACCCAUCUUUAGCACGUUUCAACUACAACAAAAACAACAGCAGCCAGAUAUAAAUCUCUCCAAUGGAAAUUGGUCCAACAGAAAUUAACUUUGUGCUGAUUUAUGCAAAAGCACACGUUUUCCUUUUGAUACCCUACUGAACAAACUGACAAGUCAUAAGACUGAUGCCUAAGCCCUGGUUAGCUAUCACAGAAGCACAGAGUAAUUUAGUUUGGAACUGACCUCUGGAGGCUACUUACUGCAAUCCUCUCCUCUAUGCAAACACAAUUUAAACUUUGAAUCAAUUUGCUCAGGGUCUUGUCCCAUCAAGUUUUAAAAAUCUCCAGGGAUGGAGCUUCCACAACCUGGAAUCACACUCACUGGGAUUUUUUUUUUUCAAAUCAAAAUUUCCCUUGUUGCAAUCAGGUUGUAAGUACUGUCUUUUGUCCUAUUUAUAUCUUUCAAGAGUUUAUUAGUACUCCUGCUAAAUCAAUCUUACUCAACGAAGAUUGCCUUUUAAA